UCUGGAAACCAUAGAGCUGUGGCACCACCUGAUUCCAUUCCGAACUCAGAAGUGAAACACAGUAUCGCCGAUGGUAGUUUGGGGUCUCCCCCAUGCGAGAGUAGGUCAUUUCCAGGC
Molecule: ribosomal RNA, 117 nt
Filed under: Shewanella sp. Arc9-LZ
Lineage: Bacteria; Pseudomonadati; Pseudomonadota; Gammaproteobacteria; Alteromonadales; Shewanellaceae
Source: RNAcentral